AUGAACAUAGGAGAUUGCAGAAGGCUUUUAAAUUUGUCGCUCAGUCUGCUUAUGCAAGCAAACAACAGGCAGGACCCUGAAAAGGCCAGCUUUCCAGGUGUUGUAGAAGUUCAAAGGAAGAUGCAAAUCUUGUUGUCUCCUUACUUAAGACAAGGAAGAACAAUCGAGUUCUGCUAGCAAUAAGGGGAAACAGUCACAUAUAAAGAAAUGGACUCAUUUCACAAGUACUGAUAGUUGCUACUGAUCACUUCUUCCUGAAAGAAGAAAAAUAUUCUCAAAUCAAGGUAGCAGUUAAAUAGAAGGGUAGG
Molecule: long non-coding RNA, 308 nt
Filed under: Numida meleagris (helmeted guineafowl)
Lineage: Eukaryota; Metazoa; Chordata; Aves; Galliformes; Numididae
Description: lncRNA (ENSNMEG00000021490.1)
Source: RNAcentral